UCUUAAAACCAGAAGUCACUUAACCUAGUUAUUUACAUAACUACUCACAUAACAAAUAUACAUAAAACCAAUUAAUAAUUUAGAUAAUCAGUGAGUUACCAAACAAAAUAAUAAAACAACAUAAGAGUCUGAUGUAAAAGUCUAUAGGUGAUUGAUGAUGAUUCAUUCAGUUGAUCAUGAAAAAUUAUUUACUGAGUAUUUACACCAUACCAUACCAGUUCUGAUAUAAAGGAAUUAAAUUCUAGGAGAGGAAGAAGGAAGACAUAUACAUAAUUAUAAAACUAGGUGGUAUAAAGUCAAUUCAGCCUUGAAUAAAUCCUCUUGUAAAUUUAUACUACUGUCAUUCCAACUUGAAAAUAUGUUUUUAAUUUAUGUCAGGAUGCCCAUGAAGGGAAGUUUAUCAAA
Molecule: long non-coding RNA, 405 nt
Organism: Phyllostomus discolor (pale spear-nosed bat)
Lineage: Eukaryota; Metazoa; Chordata; Mammalia; Chiroptera; Phyllostomidae
Exons: 2
Source: RefSeq, a predicted model, not a curated record